UUAACCGGAUUAGAUACCCUGGUAGUCCACGCCGUAAACGAUGUCGACUUGGAGGUUGUGCCCUUGAGGCGUGACUUCCGGAGCUAACGCGUUAAGUCGACCGCCUGGGGAGUACGGCCGCAAGGUUAAAACUCAAAUGAAUUGACGGGGGCCCGCACAAGCGGUGGAGCAUGUGGUUUAAUUCGAUGCAACGCGAAGAACCUUACCUGGUCUUGACAUCCACAGAACUUUCCAGAGAUGGAUUGGUGCCUUCGGGAACUGUGAGACAGGUGCUGCAUGGCUGUCGUCAGCUCGUGUUGUGAAAUGUUGGGUUAAGUCCCGCAACGAGCGCAACCCUUAUCCUUUGUUGCCAGCGGUCCGGCCGGGAACUCAAAGGAGACUGCCAGUGAUAAACCGGAGGAAGGUGGGGAUGACGUA
RNAcentral lists this ribosomal RNA (417 nucleotides) under uncultured bacterium. RNAcentral describes it as "bacterial SSU rRNA". It matches the Rfam family "Bacterial small subunit ribosomal RNA", at positions 769 to 1186 of the family's 1533-position model. The record is from RNAcentral.